This 225-nucleotide ribosomal RNA is filed under the name Clostridioides difficile. RNAcentral describes it as "partial 16S ribosomal RNA". It matches the Rfam family "Bacterial small subunit ribosomal RNA", at positions 305 to 547 of the family's 1533-position model. The record is from RNAcentral. Lineage: Bacteria; Bacillati; Bacillota; Clostridia; Peptostreptococcales; Peptostreptococcaceae.
CGGCCACAUUGGAACUGAGACACGGUCCAAACUCCUACGGGAGGCAGCAGGGGGGAAUAUUGCACAAUGGGCGAAAGCCUGAUGCAGGAACGCCGCGGGAGUGAUUAAGGCCUUCGGGUCGUGAAACGCUGUCCUCAAGGAAGAUAAUGACGGUACUUGAGGGGGAAGCCCCGGCCAACUACGGGCCAGCAGCCGCGGUAAUACGUAGGGGGCUAGCGUUAUCCG